RNAcentral lists this unclassified non-coding RNA (201 nucleotides) under Bombus terrestris (buff-tailed bumblebee). Its description in RNAcentral is "misc RNA ENSBTSG00005027775.1". Lineage: Eukaryota; Metazoa; Arthropoda; Insecta; Hymenoptera; Apidae. The record is from RNAcentral.
UCGAUUUCUUUUCUAAAUGAUCUCCUGCCUAAUCAGCGUCCACAUAACAAUCUAUCGUUUCACAUUUUUCAUUCCUUUUAUAAUCUAAUCUUAAUCUCUAGUCCGGUACAAAUAUUUCAAUAUUCGCAAAGCAAAUUUAAAAUGUGUCUCAUUACAACAAUCUUGAAAUCUACUCAAAUAAUUCACACUAUAACUUAUAUC